GGCGGAGCAGCCGGUCACUGUAGGAGGAAGCCAAGAUUGUUCUGACUGCUGGCCAGAUGGGCUCUUAGAUGGAAAGCCAGGACAGGGAAGAGGAAGGGGUAAGAAGUCAUGGGAAGCUACAUUUCUCCUCUCUCCCUCUCUCUCUCUCCCUCUCUGUCUAUCCGUCCAUUUGUCCAUCAGUCCAUCUGUCUCUCUCUCUUUCUCUCUCUAUUUUAUAUGCUGACCAUCUAUCUACCCGUCCUCUCUCUCUCUUCAUCAUAUCCAUCCAUUGUUUCUGUCUGUCCAUCUUUCUCUUCUUUUUCUUUUUUUCUUUUUUUCUUUUUUUCUUUCUUUCUUCUUUCUUUCUUUCUUUCUUUCUUUUUCUUUCUUUCUUUCCCUCUUNNNNNNNNNNUCCCAUCCUUCCUUCAUCUAUCCAUCCAUCCAUCCUUUCUUUCUUUCCUUCUUUCUUUCACCUCUCUCCCUCCCUUCUUUCUUUCAUCUAUCUAUCUAAUUUAUAUACUGCCCAUCUAUCCAUCCAUCCAUCCUUUCUGUGUCAUAUUAUUUCAUUCCUUCCUUCCUUCUUUUACAUCCCUCCCUCCCUUCUUUCAUCUAUCUUAUUUAUAUGCUGCCCAUCUAUCUAUCCUUCCAUCCUCUGUGUCAUAUUCUUUCUUUCUUUCUUUCUUUCUUUCUUUCUUUCUUUCUUUCUUUCUUCUUUCUUUCUUUCUUUCUUUCUUUCUUUCUUCUUUCUUUCUUUCUUUUACCUCCCUACCUUCUUUCAUCUCUCUCUCUCUCCCAUCUAUCUGUCUAUCAGCUCAAUCAGUCAAUUUAUCUCUUUACAUCCACCCAUACUUCCUUCCACUCUUUCUCUCCCUUGCAUCCAUCCAUCCUACCUACCUAUCCAUCCAUCCAUCACACUCCCUCACCCCACCCCCCUCAUUACUUUCCAGGGAGAUUAAAACCCAAGCCAGGACCCAGACCAAAAACCAGGCACCUCCAUGGCCUACUCCAUCCACUCACACCCACCUCUCG
RNAcentral lists this long non-coding RNA (1008 nucleotides) under Notechis scutatus (mainland tiger snake). RNAcentral describes it as "lncRNA (ENSNSUG00000011565.1)". The record is from RNAcentral. Lineage: Eukaryota; Metazoa; Chordata; Lepidosauria; Squamata; Elapidae.